UUUGGCUACAAAGGUUAUGACCACCAGCGCCACCUCCAUUGAAAAGCAACUUAUACAGAUGAACGAGGUGAUCACGAAGCUGACAAGGUCAGUCGAGGAGAAUAACUUGCAGAUCACUACGCUCAGGUUGGAGUCGGAUCAUGACAAAGAAGUCAACCCUAACCUGAAGAAGAAUUGGCAUAACAAAGAGUCUGGUGAAUAUGAGAUGUAUCAAGUCGAC
Molecule: long non-coding RNA, 220 nt
Filed under: Malus domestica (apple)
Lineage: Eukaryota; Viridiplantae; Streptophyta; Magnoliopsida; Rosales; Rosaceae
Description: long non-coding RNA (MDOM_LNC012861)
Source: RNAcentral